AACUCUCUUCCUUUUCCCCCCAUUGCUGUAAUUCCCCCACUUUUAUUUAUUUUUUCCUGCAAGCGAUCUUGCAUCGAAAUGGUGGUGAUGGGCGUGCAGCUCGUGGUCUCUCUGCUGGUGGCCAGCGUCAUGCAGAAGAUGGCACCCCACUGGUCCUUUGCCCGGUGGCUACUUUGCAAUGGAAGCCUGCGCCGCUACAAGCAUCCGUCAGAAGAGGAACUCCUCGCGCUGGCGGGCAAGCAGAAGCCGAAAGGCAAGCGGGACCGGAGGCUCAACGGCCUGGCGGAUGACAAACCGUCGUCUGUUCCCAGAGAUAUCGAUUUGCACCUGGAGAGCAGCACCAUCACGGCCGUGGAUGCUCUGGUCCUCUGCUAUUUCCUGGAGUAUCAGUGGUACGUGGACUUUGCGGCCUACUCCACUCUGGUCUACCUCUUCACGGAAGGCUACUACUGCUUGGUGGAUCCCCGGAAAGAAGCGAACAUUGGAAUCCUCUGGUGUCUUCUGACGGUCAUUUUCUCCAUCAAAAUCUUCUUCAUGGUGAUGCGACACUAUUUCCGCUCCAAGGAGGGGGGCGAGCGCUCCGUGUGCCUGGCGUUCGCCUUCUUCUUCCUCCUGAUCGCCAUGUUGGUCCUGGUCGUCCGCGAAGACUAUCUCGAAUUCGGCCUCGACACAGGGCUCACUAACGUCUACGAUAACCUGGAGGUCUUCUUAAAGGAUCAGGGAUGGGAGUGGACGAUCCCUGUGAGCAAGCUGACCAUCAAACUGGGGAUCGUGGCCCUGUGCUCCUUCGUCGGGGGCUGCUUGACCUUCCCGGGGCUGCGGCUGGCUCAGACCCACCUAGACGCCCUGAAGAUGACGGCGGACCGGCCCUUGACCCAGCUUGUCCUCCAUGCCAGCUUUCUCGCCCCUGUGAUUGUGGUGUUGAUGUGGAUCAAGCCCAUUUCCCGGGACCUCCUGUUGCAUGCCCCCAUGGGCAAGCAGACCGUGCAGAUCAUGUCCGACCCCACCUACAACUCCGUGCGCCUCUGGACGAUCGUGGCGCUGUGCCUCCUCCGCCUGUCCGUCGCCCGGCACCAUCUCCAAGCCUACCUGAACCUCGCCGAGCGAUGGGUGGAGCAGAUGAAGCGGGAGGCUGGCCGGAUCACGGUGCUAGAGAUUCAGCGGAAGGUCACCAGAAUCUACUGCUACGUGACGGUGGUCAGCUUGCAGUAUCUCGCCCCGAUCCUCCUCACCCUGCACUGUACCUUCCUCCUCAAAACUCUGGGGGAAUAUUCCUGGGGGUUCUACCCAGAACCUGCCUUGAUGUCUCCAGCGGUUGAUGCGUUCCCCGUUCCUCAGGCUUCCACCUCCUCCGAUGAAACCGAAAAGGACGAUAUUCAAGCUACCGUGGAACAGAUCACGGGAGCUCUCGGCACGUUUGGAACGGUCUUCACGCCGCUCUUCUAUCGCGGGCUGCUCUCGUUCUUCACCUGGUGGGUGGCCGCCUGCCAGGUCAUCUCCACCCUCUUUGGCCUUUAUUUCCACCAGCACCUGGCCGCGUCCUAACGACACGGAUCUCCAACUACUCUUAGCUGCACGGCCUGCGUUUGGGCCGGGACCUUGGACUCCCCUUGCGGUUACGACACGCUGCAACACUUGGUCUGUUGCUGCGCUGCAACCAGGGUUUCGUCGGCGGACUCCUUUUCUUUCCUCAAAAACAUGGCCUCCGGGAAACCACCCCCCACAUUUGACUGGGUUCACAUUUGCUGCCAAUUUUGGUGUACUCCGAGACUAGUGGUAAAUUCCGGGAGGACCCUGGUUGCUGUUACCCGAUGGUCGGACCCUAUUCUUUCGGAAGUAUGUUAUUAACCGGCAGGCAGCUGCUGCCUGAGCACCUCAGCUUUCAUUAAAAAUAUGUAUCAAGUUUCUAGACCUCAUGGGAUCCAGA
This is an RNA transcript of Elgaria multicarinata webbii, 1927 nucleotides long. It is a transcript of the gene named transmembrane protein 161A, with no coding region annotated. NCBI's taxonomy places the organism in Eukaryota, Metazoa, Chordata, Lepidosauria, Squamata, Anguidae. The record is from RefSeq and is a predicted model, not a curated record. The transcript is spliced from 13 exons.